Molecule: non-coding RNA, 250 nt
Filed under: Clostridia bacterium
Lineage: Bacteria; Bacillati; Bacillota; Clostridia
Description: T-box sequence
Rfam family: T-box leader
About the family: Uncharged tRNA acts as the effector for transcription antitermination of genes in the T-box leader family. T-boxes are found upstream of many aminoacyl-tRNA synthetase genes and some amino acid biosynthetic genes usually in Gram-positive bacteria.
Source: RNAcentral
AUAAAAGUAAUGAUGGGAAGAGUAAGUUGGCAUACAUGUCAAAGAGAACCGGGAAUGGUGUGAACCGGCACAUAAAACCAACCCAACAUGGCCCCUGAACUGUACAGGUGAGGCAGCUGCUAAGCCUGUGCCGGUAGGCUGACGUUAUACAGCACAGUGAUGAAGCCCUUUGGGCGAGUCACUUGUUAAGUUUUCUGCCGUGAGGCAGGAAAGAAUCAGGGUGGUAACACGAACAGCUUUCGUCCCUUCA